CUUUUCAAGUGGAUUUAAAGAGCUGUCUUUUUGCCUCAGACGAAUCUAAAGGUUUAACACUAACCCAGUGUUUCCCAAACUGAGUCCUGGGGACCUCAAGGGGUGCUCGUCUUGGUUUUUGCCCUAGCACUUUGCUUAAUGAUAGGUUAUUUGAAUCUCUUCAGUGUCCCCAGGACCGAGUUUGGGAAAUGCUGCACUAACUUUUUUACUCAGAGAUAGCCAACCUUGACAAGAAGCACACUUUCAUUGGCCUUACCUGUUUCUCUUUGUAACCUAUUCACAGAAGGAUGAUGCUGCCGGAUUAUAAGUGAAUGGCUACUUUGUGUAUACUUCUAAAUAGUCCAGGGACAUGGAGCAGUGUCAACCCCAGUUCUGGGUCUACUUGUCCUUUUCAUCUGUUUGUGGUAGGAGAGAAACACAGAUGCUGCCACCAUAGCUCCAUGGGGGCCAUGGGAUCUCUGGUUCUCCGUUGGAUCCAGCUGCACACUGACAGACAGCUCCCUGGCUGGAUAUGGGAGCGAGUGUCAGAACAUGCUUGAGGUGAUUUUCGAGGAUUAGCAGACAGCUGGCGUGUGGGCAACCUUUGUUGCAGGGUCUGCACAACGCUAAAGUUGCUAACAAGGUCUUCUGGGCUCUGAAAGAAUUGAAUCUUCCCCACAGAAAAUGGACACAAUUCAAUGGAUAUCAAUCACAAAGAGGUAUACAGACGAGGUAUACAGACCAAUACCAAUUGGUAUUGGUAUGUUAUGCAGAUCAGAUUUACCAUCAUCCUACCUUACCUCUUCAAUGAAUAUCCCAUAGGCCUCUACAUUAUGGACAAG
This 821-nucleotide long non-coding RNA is filed under the name Salmo salar (Atlantic salmon). RNAcentral describes it as "lncRNA (ENSSSAG00000105484.1, ENSSSAG00020051780.1)". Lineage: Eukaryota; Metazoa; Chordata; Actinopteri; Salmoniformes; Salmonidae. The record is from RNAcentral.